Molecule: non-coding RNA, 1088 nt
Organism: Chlorocebus sabaeus (green monkey)
Lineage: Eukaryota; Metazoa; Chordata; Mammalia; Primates; Cercopithecidae
Source: RefSeq, a predicted model, not a curated record
AGUGAGCCGAGAUCGUGCCACUGUGCUCCAGCUUGGGCAACAGAGACUCCGUCUUGAAAAACUAAAAGUAAAAAACAAACAACAAAAAAAUAGGCUGCCUCCUUUGAGAAAUCUUCCCUCACAUCAACUAUUUCAGUCCCACCUAGCCCGGUUUUUUCUUCCUUGUGCUCUAAUAUUCGUUCCAUCAAGUUUUACGACCCGAUCACGCUGUUUGUCCAGCACCCAUACUGCUUAAAGGCUCCGGUAAUGGGCGGCCCCAGCCUGCAGCGUAGACAGUUGCCAUGGAGAAAGACAGGCGUUUCCAGAGUUGACGGUUGCCAUGGAGACAAAAGCCGCCCGCACGCAGUGGGGGCGGGGCUUACAGAACGAUUUCUGCGAUUGAUCCAUAGGAAACAGAGGCAGCCUCGUGGAUCGCCUUCUCCAUCCCGCAUACUGAAGCCAGAAUAAGCCACGACUUCGUGUGCCCCACUCGAGGGCCGCCUGACGCCAGGGUUUUUCCCGCAUCGGCCAUCAGAGGACCGUCGCCCUAAGCAGCUCCCGCGGGAUUCUGGGAAGGGUAGUUCAUCAGGGAGUCUGACAUGCGCAGAGGCAUCCGUGGGGGCCAGGGCAGCGUCGCCACCAACGUGCGGAUGCAGGUGGGGAGCAAGCUUCGCGUGGGAAGCCGACCCGAGGUCCAAGCCCCCAGUUGCCAGGUCCUCGAGGGCCCGACUGUCUAGUGACAUUCAUCGCUUACCCUCCCCAUUUUGGGCCCAUUUUGGCCUGAAGAGUGGCUCCGAGCAGUCAAGGAUUUAGGCCACCGAGGCGUCUCCGAAAUUGGAGUUCCAGAAGCCAUCCUUGGAUAACAUCUCUAUAAUCUCCUGGGAGAAUCCUUCUUCCAAGAAAUCCUCCAUCAGAGGAGAGUUCUUGGUCUCAGUCGCAUCUGAAAGACUCCCAGGAUGAGGGGGUGGAAGCCAGCGAGUGGCGAGUGAAGUCCUGAAGCUGAGCAUUGUAAUGUCUGGGUAGACCUGUGGGAGAGCUGGCGGCAGCCCAGGAUGGAGGUCUGGAGGACAGAAGGUACACAGGGGGCCCCUCUCCAUCCACUCACCAGG